CGCACCUUGCGCCCUCUGGUAUUCCGGAGGGCAUGCCUGUUUGAGUGUCUUGAUAUCAUCAACCCCUCGGGUUCGCGCCCGAAGCGGGUUGGAUUUGGGGGCUUGCUGCCGUGAGGCGGCUCCCCUUAAAAUCAUCGGUUCGGCCCGCACUGCGGCUGGCACCUUUGGCGUUGUAUCUCCCUCGCCUUUGAUCGGUCCUGCUCGCUUCCGCGCCUCACCUCGACUUGCCCUUUGGGUGGCGGUCACUUCUUGACAAUCUGGCCUCAAAUCAGGUAGGACUACCCGCUGAACUUAA
This 295-nucleotide unclassified non-coding RNA is filed under the name Trechisporales sp. Its description in RNAcentral is "partial contains 5.8S ribosomal RNA, internal transcribed spacer 2, and large subunit ribosomal RNA". Lineage: Eukaryota; Fungi; Basidiomycota; Agaricomycetes; Trechisporales. The record is from RNAcentral.